UCAUUGGUGUCUCUGGAGAGAGAUGGACACA
Molecule: non-coding RNA, 31 nt
Filed under: Macaca fascicularis (crab-eating macaque)
Lineage: Eukaryota; Metazoa; Chordata; Mammalia; Primates; Cercopithecidae
Also listed under: 1 other name
Source: RNAcentral